RNAcentral lists this ribosomal RNA (254 nucleotides) under uncultured bacterium. Its description in RNAcentral is "partial 16S ribosomal RNA". It matches the Rfam family "Bacterial small subunit ribosomal RNA", at positions 524 to 776 of the family's 1533-position model. The record is from RNAcentral.
UACGUAGGGUGCGAGCGUUGUCCGGAAUUAUUGGGCGUAAAGAGCUCGUAGGCGGCUUGGCAAGUCGGGUGUGAAACCUCCAGGCUCAACCUGGAGACGCCACUCGAUACUGCUAUGGCUAGAGUCCGGUAGGGGACCACGGAAUUCCUGGUGUAGCGGUGAAAUGCGCAGAUAUCAGGAGGAACACCGGUGGCGAAGGCAGCUCGCUGGGACGUUACUGACGCUGAGACGCGAAAGCGUGGGGAGCAAACAGG